Non-coding RNA from Anas platyrhynchos (mallard), 5364 nucleotides. The record is from RefSeq and is a predicted model, not a curated record. Lineage: Eukaryota; Metazoa; Chordata; Aves; Anseriformes; Anatidae.
GGGGGGCGGGACAAAGUGGGCUGGGGGGCUCAGGCUGCCCUGGCUGAGGAGAUGCUCGGACAGAGCCCCAGGCUCAGCACCAAUCCUGCCACCUCUCCGUGCCUCCAAGGGGUCCUUGUCCCUUUUCUCCCAGCCCACCACGGCUCAGGGCAGCGCCCACCGAGGGGCUCUCCGUUGUGAGUUCGCCACGCACAAUUUUUCAGGCAUGAAAUUGGACUAAGAGGAUUAUGGGCCAUUAGCAUCAGCAGGAGUGUUUUGCUGGGGUUUUCAAUUAAUAUUCCGGCGCACCUCAGGAAUACUUAUGGGGACCUGGCCCUGCCUGGGGGGCACCCGACCCGCUGCGGUGCCCACCGGGGCUGCCUCCUGCCCCCGGGGCCGGCACCAAGAGUGGGUGGGCAACGGCAGGUGCUCCCAGAGCCCAUUUCAGAGCCCUGCCGCUGCUUUUAUCUCCGACUGUCAGAGAAGUCAGCCUUCCCCCAGCAGAGAAAAACUUAUUCCAUUGUUGGAGAGGGUGAAAAACCCAUUAUCUUCCCCCCCAUCCACUCCGCACGCUGCCUCUGCCGUGAUUUACUGCGAGUCGCGGAGGAUAUUUUGCUCUAUAUUACACAGAUGCAGCUUAAUAGCAUGGGGGAGGGAGAGGGACACAGAGUCCAGGCUCCUGCCUUCUCUGUUUUCUUGUUGAUAUACUGGGUGACUCGAGGGAGACAGCUCUGUGCCGCAAUUUCCUCGCCAGAAAAUGGGGACGUCGGUCACUCCGCCUUACGAAACCGCCGCGAGAUUCCUGGAUGUCCAGCUCCGCGGGGAAAAGAAAACUAUUAUUAUUAUGGCUAAUAUGAUGAUAAUUAUGAUUAUUAAUCACCGGGCAGUCAGGAUUUAAGGUUGGCCUCCUGCCCUCCUCUCAUCCCAUAAAUCAGCCCGGGCUGUUCGUGGGCACGGCACGUGGCUGCGGAUGUGCCGGGUGCUGUGGGCGCGUGACGGCUCGCAGCCCUCGCCGGAGCUGAUCGGGUCCCCAGAGGGGAGCGCGGGGUCACUGGGGGGGGGGCUCUGGGCAUGGGGCAGGGCACAGAACCGGCCCCUCUGGCCCCUCGGUGACACUGGGGUCUGUGGGGCGAGCCCAGGAAGCCUUGUCCCCCUCCGGCCAUGGCAGUGGGGCAGCUUCUGUAUCCCUUUCUCUGGACUGAGCUUCAGGGGCCUCCCAGUGCCCCCAUGGCUCUCCCAAUGCCCCCAUGGCCUCUCCCAGUGCCCCAUGGCUCUUCCAAUUCCCCUACAGCUCUUCCAGCACCCCCAUAGCUCUUCCAGUGCCCCCUUGGCCUCUCCCAGUGCCCCCAUGGCUCUCCCAAUCUCCAUGUGGCUCUUCCAGUGCUCCCAUAGCUCUCCCAGUGUUCCCAUAGCUCUCCCAGUACCCCCAUGGCUCUCCCAGUGCCCCCAGAGCAUCCCAGCAGAGCUGGCUGAUCCGUGAGGCUGUGUCUGUGCCCUCCUGAGGAGUGCCCCGUGCCCAGACUCCUCUCAAUUCCCUUGGCUUCUCCGGGACUUAAGCAUAUGCUUGCAGUUAAUCCCGUGCUUACAGCCUAUCCCAAAUAGGAAGAAUUGGGGUCUCCGGGCAAAUUCUCCUGCUGUUCAAGGCAGCUGAAGGGCUCCCUCUAAUUCAGUGAGCAGUAAUCCCCUCCCUGCCCCGCUCCCCUCCUCCUCCUCCUCCCUCGCUCAGUUCUUUCCUCCCCCUCAGGGAGCCUUUUGGAGGUUUUGCUCCUUUCCCCUUCGUUCCUUCCUUCCCACACCCCAGGCAAUCAAUGGGAAAGCACCCGAUUUCCAGGGAAAAAAAAAAAACUGGGUGCUCCCAGGGGUGCCCUCCCUUCCCGGCCCCUCCCCAUCAAUUCUCCACGAGCCAUCUGUGCCUGCCGAGCUCGGGUUCAACCGGGGCAUGUUUGGUUUUUGCCGGGCAGGUGGGGAACCGGGGGACUCCGCGGGAUAAGGCCAGGAAGUAAAAUAUUUGCGCAGUGCAGGGAAUUAUAACCCACCCACAGCCGUCAGACAGGGGCGGCUGUGUUGGAUGGGGAGGGUACGGCCACGGAAGGGGCUGCGGAUUUGGGGUGGUUGGGUGAGGACGAGGGGCUCGGCACCCACCCGGAUCCCAAACCAUCAGCUGCCGGCUGUCGCCUGCCGGGAGAAAUGUUUGCCAGCCGCGAGCCGGCGUUCCUCCACCUUUCGGUAAUCAGAGCUGGGCUGCAGGCACAGCGGGAGAGCGAGGCUGAGGACAGAGAUAUGGGACUUCCGCAGUCCCCAAAGCUGCUGGCGGCCAUCGGGGCUGUCCCCAAACAGGUGCCGGGGUCCCCCCUGCCCAGCACCCCUCGUGCCCUCGGUUUUUGGAAGAAGAUCCAGAGGGAGGAGAUGGAGCUGGAGUUGUGGCCCCCGAGGACAGCUGGGGAAGGGGCAUGGGUGGAUUUGGGGUCAUCCUCGACCACCUCCACCGCACCCCUCCAAAUCUUUUUUUUCCCCAAGCUUUCCCAGUGACACUGUUUGUUAGCUAAGUACAAAAUAUAAAUCACAAAACCAGUUGGAUGUGCAGCCAAAAUUAACCCUGCGCUCUCCCCAGUGCCAUCCCGGGGGAGGCCAGAAACUUGGGAAGGUCUCAGUGACACUAAACUGAGUCUUGGGGGGUUAUUUCCCAACAGGAGCCAAAUCCCGUUCAGCAGAGGGAUGAAAAAACAAGGGAGCUCAGCUCCAGGAUGUGGCACGUCCACGCUGCACAGAAGGAGAAACUGAGGCACGGGGCAGGCUCGUGACUCCCCCACUGUCUUUGGGGUUGGGAGGAUGGAUGGGGCGAGCGGGAGGAUGGAUGGGGAGAGUGGGAGGAUGGAUGGGGAGAGUGGGAGGAUGGAUGGGGCAAGGGGUCAGCACCACUCAGCCCCACGGAGGUGCCUCCAGGCGUGGGGUACCCGUGUGGGUGCCUGAUGCUUUCCUGCAUCUCUGGCUGCCUCCCUGGGCUCCUGGGCAAGGAUUUGGGGUCUGCCGACCCCAUCUUAGCCCACCCCACCCGCAGGAUGCCCUCCGUGCCAUAUCCCCCCCCCUUGAUGACCCCUGCCCGGGGUUGGCCCCUGCUUCUGGCCCCUGGGUGCCGGGUGCUGCCAAGCCGCGGCUGCAUUUUUCCAGGCGCUCCUUGUCCCCGGGGAAGGGGAAUGCGAGGAACGCGGCCCCGCGCGCCCUGCCUGCUCCUGCCCGGCCACCUACCAGCUAAGAAUAGACCCGGCUUGGCCGGGCCCCCGCCAGCCGCUGGGGACGUGGGGUCCCCCCCGCCAGUCACCUUCCCCCAGCACGGUGAGUGAGGAUAAUGAGCAUUAAAAAAAUAAAAAAAUAAAAAAAAAAAAGGAAAAUAGGUUUCGCUGUGCCCAAAGGGUCUCCAGGCUGGUGAAGGGAACCCAGUGUGGUUCUUGCUUUUGAUGUGCGUGGUUUUGAAGCAAAUCUGCUCUCUAGGAGCAUUGUGCGCAGGCAUCCCCAGCACAGCCCCCGCAGGCCUGGGGUGCUGCUUUCUGAGCUCCCCUUGGGGGGGCUCUGUGAAUUGAAAGGGAAUCUCCUCUUUCUCUGCUCUUUCUCUUUUCCUUUUUUUUUUUUUUUUUUUUUCUCCUUUUUCCUAGGGAGUAAUUUUGCUAAGCCUCCUAAUUUCAGCAGGAAGCGUGAUGCAGAAGCCAGAAGGCAGCAAAAUCUCUCCAGAUGUUAUCACAACAGGGGAGGUGAAGCAUCCUCAUUUUAAAGGUAACUUGUAAAACGCUGGUGAUGGGUAGCAGAGCCCUGAGGGCACCAGCGGGUCUUAAUUGCCCUGGAAAGCUUCACCUGUGCCCCCACCCACGGCUCAGCAGCUCCAGUUAAGCUCAGCUCAGGACCUUCAUUUCAUCUUGAGCUGGGCUGGAGGUAGCUGCGUGCCCUGUCCUGCUCCUGGUUGGAGCUCGGAGCUGUGCUGGAGAAAGCAAUCUUCCUGAAGCUGGCAAGACCUUGAUGACCUUGGAGACCUCCGUUAAUGGUGCAGAAAGCAGCCACAGGGCUACAAAUUACCAGCGGGGAGCUGAGCUGGAUGGAGCGCACCUGCAGCAGCCUGCCUUCUGGGGCUGAAAGCAAACUUGGCUUCCAACCCAGCUCGCACUUUGCAAGGUCUCUGCUCCACGGGCAUCGCGUGGCUGGGAAGGAGGGGCAGGGAUGGUGCUGCUGUGGGGUGCGGGCAUUUGGGGCAGCUGCUCCCCCAGCCCUGGGAUUGCAACGGGAAGAUGCGCGACCGGCGGCUUCGCCUCCCCGUGGGCGUAGGAGAUGGAAGCAAACAAACACAAACCCGAGCGUGGGCGGGCAGACACCUGCCUUCUGCUCCUCUCGGGGCUCCGUUUCCCCCUGUAAGACAGGACUGAGGGUGGAGGCCAUCGGGUGAGAGGGAUGGCGUGAUCUGCCCUGCGUCCCCUCAUUUCCCUUCCUGCUUGGGGCUGCAGCAGAUCGCGGCUCUUUAAGGCUGCAAUAAUCCCUGGCCUGGGAUUAGUUUUGCACCUAAUCACCGCAGAACAAAUACGAAGUUUUAUUUACAGAAGCAGAAGAAAGACGGGGAAAAAAAGCCUCAAGCACGGCUGAUCCCAAGAUAAUCAGAGCUGGGGAGCGGGAGGCGAUCGCUGACCUCAGAGCCCCCCCGGCCCUUACGUAAACGCGCAUCGUCCCUGUGCUGGAGCCGCGGGCUCGAGCCCUGUCCCUGCUUGGACUUGGUGACCCUCAACCCUCAUUACAGCUCAGGCUUGGACUUUUCUGGAAACCCACUUCUCGGCGGGGGUUUUCUGGCCCUAAUGCAGCCCCUCGGUUAGGUAUAUGCCCUAUGGAGAAACCCUGAGACAGCAGCUGCAACGGGAGCCAAUAUUUAGGGGGCGAUGGUGCUGCCAUAAAGGGAUGCUGAGCUUUCAUGAUGGGGAUGGAGGAGACCCCAAAAGCCACAUUGACCCCUAGGAAAUUGUAUUCUCACCAGCCCAGCACCCCACGGAGAUACCACCCACAAGAAGGAGCCAAGCUGCUGCGCUGGGGGUAACAAGACAUGGGUUUAUUUUUCAUCCAUGCAAGCGAACAGCCCAGCAGUGGGCAAACCAGGGAUGGACAGAGAACACAAACGUGCUCUGUCCUUCCCAAGCCUGCCCUCUGUCACUUGAAGCCCCCAUGGCUUUGGCCACCCUGGCAUAGGGGUCAGAGAUAGAUGGUGAGUGCCUGGGCUGGACCUGCGCCCCCCAGGCAUGGGGGCAGCCCGUGAUGGCUCCGUGCCUGCCGGUGCCUGAAUUUCUCUCCCCCUUAUGCAGACGCUGACAAAUAAAUAGGUCUUUUCUGCUUUGGCUCUUGCAUAGUGGAAAAAAAAAA